This 342-nucleotide ribosomal RNA is filed under the name uncultured bacterium. RNAcentral describes it as "bacterial SSU rRNA". It matches the Rfam family "Bacterial small subunit ribosomal RNA", at positions 29 to 398 of the family's 1533-position model. The record is from RNAcentral.
AACGAACGCUGGCGGCAUGCCUAACACAUGCAAGUCGAACGAGCUCUUCGGAGCUAGUGGCGCACGGGUGCGUAACGCGUGGGAAUCUGCCCUUGGGUUCGGGAUAACAGUUGGAAACGACUGCUAAUACCGGAUGAUGUCUUCGGACCAAAGAUUUAUCGCCCAGGGAUGAGCCCGCGUCGGAUUAGCUAGUUGGUGGGGUAAAAGCCUACCAAGGCAACGAUCCGUAGCUGGUCUGAGAGGAUGGAUCAGCCACACUGGGACUGAGACACGGCCCAGACUCCUACGGGAGGCAGCAGUGGGAAUAUUGGUCAAUGGACGAGAGUCUGAACCAGCCAAGUA